GAUGAACGCUGGCGGCGUGCCUAAUACAUGCAAGUCGAGCGAACGGACGAGAAGCUUGCUUCUCUGAUGUUAGCGGCGGACGGGUGAGUAACACGUGGAUAACCUACCUAUAAGACUGGGAUAAAUUCGGGAAACCGUAGCUAAUACCGGAUAAUAUUUUGAACCGCAUGGUUCAAAAGUGAAAGACGGUCUUGCUGUCACUUAUAGAUGGAUCCGCGCUGCAUUAGCUAGUUGGUAAGGUAACGGCUUACCAAGGCAACGAUGCAUAGCCGACCUGAGAGGGUGAUCGGCCACACGGGAACUGAGACACGGUCCAGACUCCUACGGGAGGCAGCAGUAGGGAAUCUUCCGCAAUGGGCGAAAGCCUGACGGAGCAACGCCGCGUGAGUGAUGAAGGUCUUCGGAUCGUAAAACUCUGUUAUUAGGGAAGAACAUAUGUGUAAGUAACUGUGCACAUCUUGACGGUACCUAAUCAGAAAGCCACGGCUAACUACGUG
Molecule: ribosomal RNA, 497 nt
Filed under: uncultured bacterium
Lineage: Bacteria
Description: partial 16S ribosomal RNA
Rfam family: Bacterial small subunit ribosomal RNA
Source: RNAcentral